UUGUUGGUAAGGUAAAAGCUUACCAAGGCUUCGAUCAGUAGCUGGUCUGAGAGGACGACCAGCCACACUGGGACUGAGACACGGCCCAGACUCCUACGGGAGGCAGCAGUGGGGAAUUUUGGACAAUGGGGGCAACCCUGAUCCAGCCAGGCCGCGUGAGUGAAGAAGGCCUUCGGGUUGUAAAGCUCUUUCAGCCGGAACGAAACGGUUACGGAUAACACCCGUGACUACUGACGGUACCGGAAGAAGAAGCACCGGCUAACUACGUGCCAGCAGCCGCGGUAAUACGUAGGGUGCGAGCGUUAAUCGGAAUUACUGGGCGUAAAGCGUGCGCAGGUGGUUUUGUAAGUCAGAUGUGAAAGCCCCGGGCUCAACCUGGGAACUGCGUUUGAAACUACAAGACUAGAGUGUGGCAGAGGGGGGUGGAAUUCCGCGUGUAGCAGUGAAAUGCGUAGAGAUGUGGAGGAACACCGAUGGCGAAGGCAGCCCCCUGGGUCAACACUGACGCUCAGGCACGAAAGCAUGGGGAGCAAACAGGAUUAGAUACCCUGGUAGUCCAUGCCCUAAACGAUGUCAACUAGUUGUCGGGCCUUUACGGGCUUGGUAACGUAGCUAACGCGUGAAGUUGACCGCCUGGGGAGUACGAUCGCAAGAUUAAAACUCAAAUGAAUUGACGGGGACCCGCACAAGCGGUGGAUUAUGUGGAUUAAUUCGAUGCAACGCGAAAAACCUUACCUACCCUUGACAUGUAUCGAAGCCCGCAGAAAAGCGGGGGUGCCCGAAAGGGAACGAUAACACAGGUGCUGCAUGGCUGUCGUCAGCUCGUGUCGUGAGAUGUUGGGUUAAGUCCCGCAACGAGCGCAACCCUUGUCAUUAAUUGCCAUCAUUUAGUUGGGCACUUUAAUGAGACUGCCGG
This 916-nucleotide ribosomal RNA is filed under the name uncultured bacterium. Its description in RNAcentral is "bacterial SSU rRNA". It matches the Rfam family "Bacterial small subunit ribosomal RNA", at positions 246 to 1155 of the family's 1533-position model. The record is from RNAcentral.